UAAAUUACAAAAUGAAUACAACAAAAUACAUACUUGAUAGAAAAAUAGAAGCAUAACACCAUCUUUGGGUAUAAUCUUAAAAAUAAUAAAUGACUUAAGUUGUCAUUAUCUGUGUUCAUAGAAUCUUGAGACAAAGGGGAAAAAGCAUAUGCCAUUAAAAAUGAUUUUCUUUUAUUUCCAGGCGAGAAGAAUGCUGUGCUGUUGGAACAGAAUAAUUGAAAGACCUCACUGAGGGUGUCACCAUUCCCUACCAGCCUUUUACAUACAUGUCCUUCUAUACCUGCCAUCCUUCAGCCUCUGCUCAAAUGUCAGCCCUUCUGCAGAGCCUUCUCUGAGUAAAUGUCUUAAAAUCCUUAUGAAAACAGCAUCUCACAACAGAAAUGUUCCUAAGGGAGAGAAAUUAUUAAGGUGGAAACAAGAAGAUGGAGAUGAAACUCAAAAUCGUGCGGAAGGAGUUGAUGAAUGUCACAGGUAAGAGAUAAGAAACACCCUGAUCAAGGCCAAGGGCAAGUAUGGUGUACAUCCAUAAAUAUCUGAAUUAUAAUCAUAAGGAAUCAAAGUAUUCCCAAUGGCUCCAGAGUCAGAAUUAGUUUAAGUGAAAGUCAGGGGAAAGGAGUUCAUUCUACCCUAAGAAUCCAAUUCUAAAAUUCAAGCGGUUCCAAAAUAUAAUUGUCUCCUCUCGGGGAACAAAAAAAUAUCAAGCAAAGACUGCGUGAUUUAUUAAGGGGGAUUCCUCCCUUAGAAAAAGUUCCCCAUAUCUUAAAAAUUGAUUUUACAAUUAAAAUAAGUCUGAGAAGAUGAUUCGACAUCAUGCAAAGAACUGAAAAAAGACUGAAUUCACAGCAUUUCUUGGAUACCUUCUAAUAGGAACAGAAGUAUGUAGAAAAAUGCAGGGUAUUGAGCCCAGCUUUGGUACUUUUAUAGUAGUGAUCAAAAUGUGUCAACUCUAAUGUAAGACUAUUGUCUAAUAUGGGAUAUGAAAUCAAUGUAAUUUACUUGAUUCAAUUUUUAAAA
Molecule: long non-coding RNA, 1014 nt
Filed under: Felis catus (domestic cat)
Lineage: Eukaryota; Metazoa; Chordata; Mammalia; Carnivora; Felidae
Description: lncRNA (ENSFCAG00000048127.1)
Source: RNAcentral